GAACGCCACACGUAACCUUGGCUGCAUUUUAAUCAUCAUCGGCCGAGUGUCUCCGUUGGUCAGACUGAGUUCUUAGACGACUGCACGUGCUGCUCGGGCUUGGGCUCGGGCUUGGCCACAUCAAUCAAAAAUAAUUUAUUUGAGAGCAAAGCCAGGGCCUCCAGCUAGAGCUUGGCCAUCUAAGAUAUGGCCAAAGCGUCACACGUAUCCGAGUGCAG
RNAcentral lists this long non-coding RNA (218 nucleotides) under Drosophila guanche. The record is from RNAcentral. Lineage: Eukaryota; Metazoa; Arthropoda; Insecta; Diptera; Drosophilidae.